AUGGGUCGUUUAGGCCAUGAGUUAGGUACUGUGAAGUUGGGUUAUGUAAACCCAAUCCAUGUUUGGGGGAAGGAAUUUUGGGAGAAGGGUUAUCAUAACCCUUCCCAUUCUCUCUCUUUCUUCCUCUCAAUCCGUCUUCCCCCUAUUUCUUUCCUCUCAAUCUCUCUUCAAAUCCCCUAUAACGGUACCUUCCUUUCUCCCUUCCCCCAACGUAAUCCCUCCUCAACCCUCCCUUACUUCGGUUAUUUUGCUUGGUCUUCACCGUUUUCUUCUCCAUCAAUUUCAUCUUUCACCGUCUUUGUCUUCAUCAAUGUUAUCUCUCCAUUUUUAACUCUCACCAUUUUCGUCUAUCACCAUUUUCGUCUUUCACCAUCUUUGUCUCUCACUGUUUUCGUCUUCACUAUUUUCACUUUCGGUUUUCAUCGCCCCCCGUUGUUUUGGGUCUUGUUGACUAGCUUCAUUUUCUCCAUUUGAGGCCUCUAAUUCCCUUUCCAUCAUUUUGGGUUUCGUUGAUUGACUUCAUGGUUUGUUACAUGGCUUGUCUUCUAGACUUGCUGCUCGGACCUCACCUUGUUGCUCUGUAUUUCCCUUAUUGCUCAAACUUACCCUUUUCGCUCGAGCUUCCCAUUUAUUGAUAAGUGUCGAAUGCUACAUCUGUAGUGGUAGUGGUGGUUUCGAGCAAGGUAGGGAUGGAGGUGAAAAUUUAAUAACUACAAAACCUUGUUUACAACGCUUAACUUUUACUUCCAUUUGGUCGUUUGUUUUCUUAUUAACGAAAUACACUACUCCGCAUGGUCCCUACAUUAACUCAAUACAAACUACUCUAGACCACUGUUAAUUAUAGCUCACCUAAGUGUCUCCAUAUCUUUUACCCUGGGUUAUAAGAGAGGAAUUUUUUUUUUUUGCAAACAUGCUUCCAUGGUUCAUUUUUCAGAAUGCACUGUUGUUCUCGAACCAUACUAGCGAGGCGUGUACUUCAGCAAGUUUUUAGGUGUUACCUUGCAAUGUCGUUGGAAAACAUUGCCACAAUACUAAUUGUAUUCACAGUGUCCCAACGUCAGCUGCUGAUGACAUUGGACGAACUACUAAAGGACAAUAAGAGGCUAACCUAUACACCUUACGAAAUUAGGCACAGAAUUAGGCAGCUUGCAUACUUCCGCAUGAUCCAUGAGUCCGACCUAGUAUGUCAUCAAAGUACUAGAAUGGAAAGAAGAACAUUUGUUGUUCUAUGCAACCUACUGAGACUAUUUUUGGAACUGUGUCGACGGAAGUCAUCGAUGUCGAGGAGAUGGUGGCCAUAUUUCUGCACGUUCUAGCACACGACGUGAAUAAUCGAGUCAUCUAAAGGAAAUUCAUGCGGUCCGAUGAGAUAAUUUUCUGCAAUUUCAACCUCGUAUUCUUGGCUGUGCUACGGCUCCACGACGAGUUGUUGACGAAACCACAUCCCGUAACAAACUCAUGCACAUAUCCACAUUGAAGGUGCUUUGAGAAUUGCCUAGGGGCAUUUGACAAGACAUACGUAAAGGUGAAUGUGGCAGCAAUUGAUCGACCUAGGUAUAGAACAUGGAAGGAUGAAGUUGCCACGAACGUCCUCGAUGUAUACGACACGAAAGGAGAUUUUUUAUUCAUCUUAGUCGGCUGGAAAGGAUUCGCAACUAUUUCACGGCCCAAGGGAUUGAAGGUUCCAAAGGGUUACCUCAACUACUCCUCCAUUUUAUGUGAAAUUCCCUCAAUUAUAAAAUUUAACAAGGUUGAGAUCAUACUAGGUUAUUACUACCUUUGUAACGUGGGGUACCCCAAUGCGGAAGGAUUUCUAGCUCUAUACAGAGGACAAAGAUACCACCUGUAGAGUGUUAUGAAGCUGGAAAUGCAUCAACAACAACAAAAGAGUUCUUUAACAUGAAACAUUUUUUCGUACGAAAUGUUAUUGAAGCGUUCGAUCUAUUAAAGGAUCGAUGGGCAAUCCUUCGUGUAAAGUCAUACUACCCCGUUCAAGUCCAAUGUCACACAAUUUUGGUGUGUUGUCUAUUCCAUAAUCUCAUUAAUCGAGAGAUGACGAACGUUGAUAUUUUAAAGGACGUCGAUGAGGGUGACUCGAACUUUGCCACGACUGUAACUGACGACAUAAACUACAUUUGGGCCUCCAACGAAUGGAGUUAAUGGAGGGAUGACCUCGCUAAAAAGAUGUUCAGUGAAUGGAGUUGCGUAAUCAAUAGUACUAUUUAUGUUCCAAUAGUAUCACAUUCUUUAAACUUUUUUAAUAUGGCAACUCUUGUCAAAUUUAGAAUGUAUAUAUGCAUGAACGUAAUUAAUGAAAACCAACCAUUGAAAAAAAUUCGUAAUUUUUCCCAUAUGUUUAUUCUUCAUACAAUUCACUUAAAACAAAUUUUUUCCUUUUAUUCUUUUAUCAGUAUGGUUAGUUCGUCAAGGACUUUGAAACAUCCAUGGACGAAGGAGGAGUCUACCCUCGUUGAAUGUCUGGUCGACUUGAUGAAGCGGGAGGGUGGCAGUUAGACAACGGGACUUUCAAACCCAGUUACCUGGCCAUGCUAGUGAGAAUGGUGUGGGACAGGAUGCCAGAAUACAAUGUCAAGUCGACCACUAUUAUCAAACGUAGAAUAAAGUUUUGAAGAGAACAAUCCAGGCAAUUACUAACAUGUGAGGCCCAGCAUGUAGUGGGUUUGGAUGGAACGACGUGCUAAGUGAAUAAUUGCUAAGAAUGACGUGCUAGACAGUUGGGUCAGGGUACGAGAAUAAGUGAAUGCGAACUUUUUACAUAACUCUAAUGAAAUAAAAAACUGACAACUAUUUUUAAUUUUUUUCACAGAUGCAUCCUGUAGCGGAGAACCUCAUAAACAAGCCUUUUUAGUAUUACGAUGAAUUGCUACAUGUGUUUGGAAAAGAUCAUGCAAUAGGAGCACGUGAAGAGACAUUCACUCAUGUUGAGUCCAAUGUGCCAGGUGGGUACGAGGGAUUUCAAUCGAAGCCAGGUACUGAACAUGUCGUUUGAGGACAUGAUGGGCGCACAACCUAAUCGAUCGAGCGACUGUAGGUCGGGUUCAAGUGGAUUGAAGAGGAAGCUUGAAGAGCAGAAUGUGGAGACUGUGGACGUCAUCCGCGGCACCAUGAAAUGUGUGAAUGACCUACUUAGGGCCAUUGUAGACUGGCCAAAGUUAGCUAGGCAAGAGGAAGACGCAACCCGACGAGAAGUCAUUAGACAAUUGCAAGAUAUCCCUGAGCUCAGUAGAUUGGACAGGGUGCGCUAUCUAAAGAUAAUAGCAGGCAACUUGGUCAUCAUGAAAGCAUUCUUAGACCUUUUUGCGGAUAUGUAGAUGGACUACUACAUAGUCAUUCUACAAGAUAACCUAUGAUUGUUUGUCCAAUUCAACUACUUUUUUUUUUUCUUUUGCUUCUACAUUGUGUUCUCUGUAUUUGACUCCAUAUGUUUAUGCCAAACUAUCAAGAAACUAUUUUGCUCAAAUAUAUCAUUUCAUUUGAAUGAAAUUUUGUUGCCAGUAA
Long non-coding RNA from Cucumis melo (muskmelon), 3519 nucleotides. RefSeq lists it as uncharacterized. The transcript is spliced from 3 exons. NCBI's taxonomy places the organism in Eukaryota, Viridiplantae, Streptophyta, Magnoliopsida, Cucurbitales, Cucurbitaceae. The record is from RefSeq and is a predicted model, not a curated record.